AGGGGGAGGGGAAGAGGAGGAGCUGAUGGUUGAGGAUCUGGUACAAUGGAAACAGGUUGCAUCUAUAAACAUAAAAUAUAUCAUGUGAAAUUUAAAGAAUAAAGGAAAGCUGACAACCACAUAAUGUACACACUACAUGAUGAGCUCUUAAAUCAGUAAACAAGAAUAAAGAAAGAGUGGCAGAGACCAUCCUCCAUGUCGGGUGGCCAUGUUCAUUAGGAGUG
Amphimedon queenslandica is the source of this 224-nucleotide long non-coding RNA. RefSeq lists it as uncharacterized. The transcript has 3 exons. NCBI's taxonomy places the organism in Eukaryota, Metazoa, Porifera, Demospongiae, Haplosclerida, Niphatidae. The record is from RefSeq and is a predicted model, not a curated record.